RNAcentral lists this ribosomal RNA (259 nucleotides) under Bradyrhizobium sp. Its description in RNAcentral is "partial 16S ribosomal RNA". It matches the Rfam family "Bacterial small subunit ribosomal RNA", at positions 49 to 334 of the family's 1533-position model. The record is from RNAcentral. Lineage: Bacteria; Pseudomonadati; Pseudomonadota; Alphaproteobacteria; Hyphomicrobiales; Nitrobacteraceae.
UAACACAUGCAAGUCGAGCGGGCGUAAAAAUACGUCAGCGGCAGACGGGUGAGUAACGCGUGGGAACGUACCUUUUGGUUCGGAACAACACAGGGAAACUUGUGCUAAUACCGGAUAAGCCCUUACGGGGAAAGAUUUAUCGCCGAAAGAUCGGCCCGCGUCUGAUUAGCUAGUUGGUGAGGUAAUGGCUCACCAAGGCGACGAUCAGUAGCUGGUCUGAGAGGAUGAUCAGCCACAUUGGGACUGAGACACGGCCCAA